This 1052-nucleotide long non-coding RNA is filed under the name Pan troglodytes (chimpanzee). Its description in RNAcentral is "long non-coding RNA NONPTRT000454". Lineage: Eukaryota; Metazoa; Chordata; Mammalia; Primates; Hominidae. The record is from RNAcentral.
GGCUCACUUACUGUAAUCCCAGCACUUUGGGAAGCCAAGGUGGGCGGAUCAUUUGAGAUCAGGAGUUCGAGAGCAGCCUGGCCAACAUGGUGAAGCCCUGUCUCUACUGAAAAUACAAAAACUAGCAGGGUGUGGUGGGGCACACUUGUAAUCUCAGCUACUUGGAAGGCUGAGGCAGGAGAAUAACCCAGGAGUCAGAGGUUGCAGUGAGCUGAGAUCGUGCCACUGCAUUCCAGCCUGGGGAACAAAGUGAGAUUCCAUCUCAAAAAAAAAGAAAAGAAAAGAAAAGAAAAAGAUGUGGAGUCAGACCCCAUGGGACGUGAAUUCUGACUGCUUCAUUCCAGUUGAAUCAUCUUGUCAAGUUACUUUAUCGGCCUGUGGGCUUUUCCUUCCUCAUCUCUAAAACAGGGAGUAGUUGAGAGACUGAGGAAUAAAGAUAUGGAAAUCUCAGUGUAAAGCCUGGUUCUGGGGAUACUUUCAUCCUUGAGAUAGACCCUGCCUCCUGCCCUGCAGGCAGUGACCACAGCAGCACAUCCAGCCUUCCAUGAUGCAGGCAUGUCUGUCUUCUCUCAGAGUGUGAAGAGUGCAAAGACCUUAUAGAAUCUGUGCUGGAGGAGGAGCUGCAGUUUCAGGAGAGGGAGCUGACCGAAUUGCCAAGGCCAGCAGCAAGGCUCCGGAUACAUGAUCCCUUAAUUCAGGCUCAGGGUGAAGAACUGACCCACUUACGACAGAAGAUACAGGAAGGGAGAGGUGUCUGCUACCUUUUCACCCAGCAUGUGAAGAACACAGUCAAGUCUUUUGAGGGCCUUCUCAGGAACACUGGCAUUGCCUACUACCAGAGACAGAGAUUCUGUGAGCAAAUGGUACAAGGAAGCCAGCUAACAGAGAUCCUUGUCAGAAAACUUGCCACAGAAAAUCACAAUGGUAAGAAAAAUGAAGACAGGCAAAAGCCACUGGCUCCCAGGUAACUCUACAUGAUGAAGGGGCUGAUAAUGGACUGACCAAAUCUAGAGAGAAUUCCAGAAGCAAGGACUCAAGAGGUUAAAGGUCCC